RNAcentral lists this ribosomal RNA (448 nucleotides) under uncultured bacterium. RNAcentral's name for it is "partial 16S ribosomal RNA". It matches the Rfam family "Bacterial small subunit ribosomal RNA", at positions 338 to 795 of the family's 1533-position model. The record is from RNAcentral.
CCUACGGGUGGCUGCAGUGGGGAAUUUUGGACAAUGGGGGAAACCCUGAUCCAGCCAUGCCGCGUGCGGGAAGAAGGCCUUCGGGUUGUAAACCGCUUUCGGACGGAAAGAAAUCGCACGGACUAAUACUCUGUGUGGAUGACGGUACCGUAAGAAGAAGCACCGGCUAACUACGUGCCAGCAGCCGCGGUAAUACGUAGGGUGCGAGCGUUGAUCGGAGUUCCUGGGCGUAAUCCGUAGGCAGGCGGUUAAGCCCCGGGCUUAACCUGGGAACUGCGGUUGGAACUGGGAGACUAGAGUGUGGCAGAGGGAGGUGGAAUUCCGCGUGUAGCAGUGAAAUGCGUAGAUAUGCGGAGGAACACCGAUGGCGAAGGCAGCCUCCUGGGAUAACACUGACGCUCAUGCACGAAAGCGUGGGGAGCAAACAGGAUUAGAUACCCCAGUAGUC